Long non-coding RNA from Cyprinus carpio (common carp), 285 nucleotides. RefSeq lists it as uncharacterized. NCBI's taxonomy places the organism in Eukaryota, Metazoa, Chordata, Actinopteri, Cypriniformes, Cyprinidae. The transcript has 3 exons. The record is from RefSeq and is a predicted model, not a curated record.
CCGGCCAUCCUUUAAUUUAUUUAUUUCUACGUUGAGGACACUUUAUAAACCUACAGAGAUACCGGACCAACGAACGACCUUCACAACGGGACGGAGCUAACGUAAUUAACGUUAACGGUUACUUUGAAAUUCAAACAGUAACGGUCAUCUGACAACUGCGCUGAGCCAAAGGACGGGAACAGCAACAAGAGUUUAACUUCUGAUUUGUAAUCUACACACUCCACUGGGCAGUUCAUGAAGACAGAUAGAUGUUGUGCCGACCAGGACAGUUCCUUCCUACCACAC